RNAcentral lists this ribosomal RNA (740 nucleotides) under Thyridium vestitum. RNAcentral's name for it is "partial small subunit ribosomal RNA". Lineage: Eukaryota; Fungi; Ascomycota; Sordariomycetes; Thyridiales; Thyridiaceae. RNAcentral also lists the same sequence under 1 other name. The record is from RNAcentral.
AUGACUUGUCUUGAUCCCUAUUAUCAUACCCAAUAUAAAGGUUGAACAGCUUUAUAAUAAUAAAAUUUCAUAAAUAAAGCAAGGGUUUCCGUUAAUUUUAUGACCUAAGCCACAGUUUCGCAACAUUAACUGAAGACAGCCGUGCAACACUUGUAAAAUAUUCAAAUUGUGGUAAGGUUUUUCGUGGAUCAUCGAAUUAAAUAACAUACUUCACUACUGGUGUCAGAAACGGUCUAGUGAUUUCAGUUCCUGCGUUGCCGCAUUACUCUUGAGGUGAAAUGCUUACAUUUUCAUUUAUAGACUAAGUCGUAACCUAACCUAUAGCAUUCAUCAUUCUCUGCAAAGACUACUGGGGUACCUAAUCCUGUUCGUGCUCUGUGCCUUCGUCCUUCAACGUCAGUUUUUACAUAAGAGGUUGCCUGCGCCUUAACCAGUCCCUUAGGUAUCAACAAAUUUCAUCUCUCCUCCACAAGUACGACCUCCUUACAUAAAACUCUAGUAAAACUGUACUAAUUUAUAGCUAAUUUUACCGUUUGAGUACCCUUUAAACCUAAUAAAGAUGAAUAACACUAGUCUCUUACGUAUUACCGCGACUGCUGGCACGUAAUUAGUCAAGACAUGCAUAUACAUUGUCAUUAUCAAUUGUAUACUUUGAAUUUUAUUCGACAAAAUCGAUUUAUCCAUAAUCAUGGACAUUCCUCCAAAUUGCCAGUUCAGCCGUUAGGCCAUUGACCAAUAUU